CUACGGGGGGCAGCAGUCAAGAAUCUUCCGCAAUGGACGAAAGUCUGACGGAGCGACGCCGCGUGCAGGAUGAAGGCCUUCGGGUUGUAAACUGCUUUUAUAUGGGAAGAAUUUGUGACGGUACCAUAUGAAUAAGAGGUUGCUAACUCUGUGCCAGCAGCAGCGGUAAUACAGAGACCUCAAGUGUUGUCCGGAUUUAUUGGGCGUAAAGCGUCCGCAGGUGUUCCGAUAAGUUUUCUGUCAAAACCCAGCGCUCAACGUUGGGGCUACGGGAAAAACUAUUGGAAUAGAGGAUGGGAGAGGCAAGCGGAACUACAGGUGUAGUCGUAAUAAGCGUUGAUAUCUGUAGGAACACCAAAGGCGAAGGCAGCUUGCUAGAACAUUCCUGACACUCAUGGACGAAAGCGUGGGUAGCGAACGGGAUUAGAUACCCCAGUAGUC
This 441-nucleotide ribosomal RNA is filed under the name uncultured bacterium. Its description in RNAcentral is "partial 16S ribosomal RNA". It matches the Rfam family "Bacterial small subunit ribosomal RNA", at positions 339 to 795 of the family's 1533-position model. The record is from RNAcentral.